CCGGAAGGGAUCCCUUCGGGGUGAACGAAGUGGGACUGAGGGGGGCCGAGAAAAUCCCCACAGCAAUACCAUGCAUCUGACCGUACUGCAAACCGACACAGGUAGGUGAGUCGAGAAGACUAAGGCGUUCGAGAGAACUCUCGUUAAGGAACUAGGCAAAUGAGCCCCGUAACUUCGGAAUAAGGGGCGCCCCGCAAGGGGCCGCAGCGAAGCAUCCCAGGCGACUGUUUACCAAAAACACAGGUCUCUGCUAAGACGAAAGUCGAUGUAUAGGGGCUGACGCCUGCCCAAUGCCCGUAGGUUAACAGGAGAUGUUAGGAGCAAUCCGAAGCAUUGAAUCGAAGCCCGGGUGAAUGGCGGCCGUAACUCUAACGGUCCUAAGGUAGCGAAAUUCCUUGUCGGCUAAAUACCGACCCGCAUGAAAGGCGUAACGACUUGGGAACUGUCUCAACGAGAAGCUCGGUGAAAAUGUAGCGCCCGUGAAGAUGCGGGCUAUGCGCAGUAGGACGGAAAGACCCCGUGGAGCUUUACUACACCUUGUGAUUGUGAAUUGGAUGUAGAUGUAGAGCGUAGGUGGGAGCUUCGGCACCAAUGGAACACCACCCUUCUACAUCCGGUUUACUAACUGUUGCCCUGAUCGGGUAACAAGACAAUCACUGGCGGGUAGUUUGACUGGGGCGGUCGCCUCCCAAAAUGUAACGGAGGCGUCUAAAGUUACACUCAGGCUGGUUGGAAAUCAGCCGUCGAGCAUAUUGGUAUAGAGUGUGAUUGACUGCGAGACACACAGGUCAAGCAGGUACGAAAGUAGAGCAAAGUGACCCUCUGGUUGUGCGUGGGCACGCCAGGGUUCAUCGGAUAUAAGCUACCCCGGGGAUAACAGGCUGAUCUUGCCCGAGCGCUCACAGCGACGGCAUGGUUUGGCACCUCGAUGUCGGCUCGUCUCAUCCUGGGGCUGUACACGGUCCCAAGGGUUCCGGAGUUCACGGAUUAAAGAGGCACGCGAGCUGGGUUCAGAACGGCGUGAGCCAGUUCGGUCCCUAUCCACUGUGCACGUAAGAAAUUUGAAGGGAGUCGCUCUUAGUACGAGAGGACCGGAGCGAACCGACCUCUGGUGUACCAAUUGUUCCGCCAGGAGCAUACGUUGGGUAGCCACGUCGGGCAGGGAUAAGCGCUGAAAGCAUCUAAGCGCCAAGCCCACCCUAAGAUUAGAUUUCUCAUCAAUAUGAGUAAGGCCUCUGGAAGACCACCAGAUUGAUAGGUCGCAGCUGUACGCACGGUAACGUGUUUAGGUAAGCGAUACUAAUUGGCCGAGGGCUU
RNAcentral lists this ribosomal RNA (1317 nucleotides) under metagenome. RNAcentral's name for it is "bacterial LSU rRNA". It matches the Rfam family "Bacterial large subunit ribosomal RNA", at positions 1563 to 2925 of the family's 2925-position model. The record is from RNAcentral.